UUAAGUUCAGCGGGUAUUCCUACCUGAUCCGAGGUCAAACCUAGAAGAGUUGGGGGUUUUACGGCAGGGCGCCGGACACCUACAAAAGCGAGAAGAAAAUUACUACGCUCAGAGUGUGUCUCGACUCCGCCAAUACCUUUGAGGAGCUGCGAGUUACCGCAGGCUCCCAACGCUAAGCAACAGGGCUUAAGGGUUUGAAA
RNAcentral lists this unclassified non-coding RNA (200 nucleotides) under Hansfordia sp. RNAcentral's name for it is "partial internal transcribed spacer 2". The record is from RNAcentral. Lineage: Eukaryota; Fungi; Ascomycota; Sordariomycetes; Xylariales.